RNAcentral lists this microRNA precursor (75 nucleotides) under Dasypus novemcinctus (nine-banded armadillo). RNAcentral's name for it is "microRNA 711 (ENSDNOG00000027402.1)". It matches the Rfam family "mir-711 microRNA precursor family". Lineage: Eukaryota; Metazoa; Chordata; Mammalia; Cingulata; Dasypodidae. The record is from RNAcentral.
CUGACUCCCAGUCUCUCCUUAGGGCACUACGGGCAAAGCUGGGGACCCGGGAAGAGACGUAAGUAAGGGGAGAUG